AGAGUUUGAUCAUGGCUCAGGAUGAACGCUGGCGGCGUGCCUAACACAUGCAAGUCGAGCGAAGCACUUUGCUCUGAUUUCUUCGGAUUGAAGAGUGAUUUGACUGAGCGGCGGACGGGUGAGUAACGCGUGGGUAACCUGCCUCACACAGGGGGAUAACAGUUAGAAAUGACUGCUAAUACCGCAUAAGGCCACAGCACCGCAGGGUGCAGGGGUAAAAACUCCGGUGGUGUGAGAUGGGCCCGCAUCUGAUUAGUUAGUUGGCGGGGUAACGGCCCACCAAGACGACGAUCAGUAGCCGACCUGAGAGGGUGACCGGCCACAUUGGGACUGAGACACGGCCCAAACUCCUACGGGAGGCAGCAGUGGGGAAUAUUGGGCAAUGGGCGCAAGCCUGACCCAGCAACGCCGCGUGAAGGAAGAAGGCCCUCGGGUUGUAAACUUCUUUUGACAGGGACGAAACAAAUGACGGUACCUGUCGAAUAAGCCACGGCUAACUACGUGCCAGCAGCCGCGGUAAUACGUAGGUGGCAAGCGUUAUCCGG
This 545-nucleotide ribosomal RNA is filed under the name uncultured bacterium. RNAcentral's name for it is "bacterial SSU rRNA". It matches the Rfam family "Bacterial small subunit ribosomal RNA", at positions 8 to 548 of the family's 1533-position model. The record is from RNAcentral.